This 550-nucleotide ribosomal RNA is filed under the name Sordariomycetes sp. UASWS0922. Its description in RNAcentral is "eukaryotic LSU rRNA". The stretch from base 178 to 331 matches the Rfam family "5.8S ribosomal RNA". Lineage: Eukaryota; Fungi; Ascomycota; Sordariomycetes. The record is from RNAcentral.
UUAUUAGAAGCCGAAAGGCUACUUAAAACCAUCGCGAACUCGUCCAAGUUGCUUCGGCGGCGCGGCCUCCCUCACGGGGGCGCCGCAGCCCCGCCUCUCCGGAGGUGUGGGGCGCCCGCCGGAGGUACGAAACUCUGUAUUAUAGUGGCAUCUCUGAGUAAAAAACAAAUAAGUUAAAACUUUCAACAACGGAUCUCUUGGUUCUGGCAUCGAUGAAGAACGCAGCGAAAUGCGAUAAGUAAUGUGAAUUGCAGAAUUCAGUGAAUCAUCGAAUCUUUGAACGCACAUUGCGCCCGCUAGUACUCUAGCGGGCAUGCCUGUUCGAGCGUCAUUUCAACCCUCAAGCCCUGCUUGGUGUUGGGGCCCUACGGCUGCCGUAGGCCCUGAAAGGAAGUGGCGGGCUCGCUACAACUCCGAGCGUAGUAAUUCAUUAUCUCGCUAGGGACGUUGCGGCGCGCUCCUGCCGUUAAAGACCAUCUUUAACUCAAGGUUGACCUCGGAUCAGGUAGGAAUACCCGCUGAACUUAAGCAUAUCAAUAACCGGAGGAAC